Capsicum annuum is the source of this 441-nucleotide long non-coding RNA. RefSeq lists it as uncharacterized. Lineage: Eukaryota; Viridiplantae; Streptophyta; Magnoliopsida; Solanales; Solanaceae. The record is from RefSeq and is a predicted model, not a curated record. The transcript is spliced from 3 exons.
AAGGGAUUAAGCUAUUGAAGAAAUACACAUUAAGGACUAAACUACCAAGGAAAUCAAGAUAAGUAAUCUAAAAUGGAGGAGAGUCGAGUUGGUUUGGUAUUGGAGUUUUACAACCAGGAACAGGUGCUUCGGCAAACACGCCUCCUCAGUAGGAGCCCAGGAUAUCCAUCUGCUAUUGGUGAGCUCCAGUUUGCUUCGGAGCUUUCCGAGUCGGUUCUAUAUAUUUUUGGUAUUGUAUAAAAGUUAAUAGUAUGGCGGGGGUUUGUCCCGACCGUAGCUCUAAGUUCUAUGUAUCGUCUAGAGGCUUUGUAGACCAAUGUAAAGUUAAGCAUGGUAGUGUGUUAUCUUGUAGAUGUUAUGGCCCCAACAGCCAAGUCUAUUAUGUAUAUAGUUUUAGGGCUUGUCGUUUAUAUUUUUUUUUAGUAAGGCAUUAUAUCCGUA